This 499-nucleotide ribosomal RNA is filed under the name uncultured bacterium. RNAcentral describes it as "bacterial SSU rRNA". It matches the Rfam family "Bacterial small subunit ribosomal RNA", at positions 28 to 527 of the family's 1533-position model. The record is from RNAcentral.
GAUGAACGCUAGCGGGAGGCCUAAUACAUGCAAGUCGAACGGUAACAGGUAGCAAUACGCUGACGAGUGGCGCACGGGUGCGUAACGCGUACACAAUCUGCCUUAUACUGGGGCAUAGCCUUUGGAAACGAAGAAUAAUUCCCCAUAACAUAUAGAAGAGGCAUCUCUUUUAUAUUAAAGCUCAGGCGGUUAUAAGAUGAGUGUGCGUCCGAUUAGGUAGUUGGUGAGGUAACGGCUCACCAAGCCAACGAUCGGUAGCUGGUCUGAGAGGAUGAUCAGCCACACGGGCACUGAGACACGGGCCCGACUCCUACGGGAGGCAGCAGUAGGGAAUAUUGGACAAUGGGCGCAAGCCUGAUCCAGCCAUCCCGCGUGAAGGAUGAAGGUCCUCUGGAUUGUAAACUUCUUUUCUUCGGGAAUAAAAACUGGGGUUCUCCGUCAGCUUGAGGUACGAAGGAAUAAGCUACCGGCUAACUCCGUGCCAGCAGCCGCGUAAACG